UGACGACCAUCUUGUCUUUAUAGUAGGGCCUAACACACCCAAACUUAGGAUCUUCAACGCAGAAGUUUCGUAAAUAAAAUCAAGGACAGCGGAAGGAUUAUUUCGUUUUUUAUAAAGUUAAUUAACCCCACGUUUUCCCAAUGUAGAAAAAAAACCUACCGCAAAUGUACUACGAGUUUCAAUCGACUUGAGAGUCUACGUCAGUGAAUAUUCAUGGUGAUUGACCUUUGCAACGAGUUGCCUGCAGAUGUGGUAGAUGGAGAUAAUUAUCGCUGACCUUCAGGGACUGAGAUCAUAGAUGAUGUCACGAAUGGUGGAUGAAGACAACGACUUGAAACAUGCAGAAGUUGGGUAUUUCAAAAUUAUAUGGAUUAAAAUGUCUGUUUAAAAAAGAAGCCAAUAUCAUGACUUAUAGAAAUAAUACAACUCUAACCAACUGGAGCUACACCAAUCAACAUAUGGUAACUAUUGUUGUAUUCUAGAAACAGUACAAACUUGACAACCUGGAGCUACACCAAUCAACACUUGGUAACUAUUGUUGUAUUCUAGAAACAGUGUAAACUUGACAACCUGGAGCUACACCAAUCAACACUUGGUAACUAUUGUUGUAUUCUAGAAACAAAGCAGACUUCACAACCUGGAGCUACACCAAUCAACACUUGGUAACUAUUGUUGUAUUCUAGAAACAGUGUAAACUUGACAACCUGGAGCUACACCAAUCAACACUUGGUAACUAUUGUUGUAUUCUAGAAACAGUGUAAACUUGACAACCUGGAGCUACACCAAUCAACCCUUGGUAACUAUUGUUGUAUUCUAGAAACAGUGUAAACUUGACAACCUGGAGCUACACCAAUCAACCCUUGGUAACUAUUGUUGUAUUCUAGAAACAAAGCAAAAUUGACAACCUGGAGCUACACCAAUCAA
This 924-nucleotide long non-coding RNA is filed under the name Limulus polyphemus (Atlantic horseshoe crab). RNAcentral's name for it is "uncharacterized LOC111089359, transcript variant X4". Lineage: Eukaryota; Metazoa; Arthropoda; Merostomata; Xiphosura; Limulidae. The record is from RNAcentral.